GAAAUGCGAUAAGUAGUGUGAAUUGCAGAAUUCAGUGAAUCAUCGAAUCUUUGAACGCACAUUGCGCCCUAUGGUAUUCCGUAGGGCAUGCCUGUUCGAGCGUCAUUUACACCUUCAAGCCUUGCUUGGUGUUGGGUGACUGAGGCCCCUUUGGGGCCACUCGCCUUAAAGUCAUUGGCGGUCGGUUCGUUGGCUUUGUAGCGCAGCACAAUUGCGUCCUCGAAGCCGCUGGACCAGCUCCCAGAAGCUAAUUUUAAAUGUUUGACCUCGAAUCAGGUAGGGAUACCCGCUGAACUUAAGC
RNAcentral lists this unclassified non-coding RNA (301 nucleotides) under plant metagenome. Its description in RNAcentral is "partial contains 5.8S ribosomal RNA, internal transcribed spacer 2, and large subunit ribosomal RNA". The stretch from base 1 to 105 matches the Rfam family "5.8S ribosomal RNA", at positions 50 to 154 of the family's 154-position model. The record is from RNAcentral.